RNA transcript from Jatropha curcas, 2087 nucleotides. It is a transcript of the gene named methyltransferase, with no coding region annotated. The record is from RefSeq and is a predicted model, not a curated record. Lineage: Eukaryota; Viridiplantae; Streptophyta; Magnoliopsida; Malpighiales; Euphorbiaceae.
GCUCAUGAGCAGGUCACUGCUUCUCUAAACGACAAAUCGUUUUGAUACUAAGUGCUGACUGAUUUCCAUACCGCCGCAGUUAGCCAUUUGUCUUGCCGCUCAUCCGCCAUUUAGCUUUUCUUCCUCAGAAAUCGAAAAGACAGAGAAAAAUGCCGAGCAAGAAGAACAGGAAAAGAAACAGACCAGAGCGACCCACAAUCCACCCGAAAAACAAAUACGCAGAGAACCCACCUGAUUUCGCUCUCUUAGCUUCUCUUCAUCCUUCUUUUAAACCCUUCGUCUUCUAUUCUCGCGACGGUAGACCCAAAAUUGAUUGGACCGACUUUAACUCAACUCGAGAACUCACUCGGAUCCUUCUCCUCCACGAUCACGGCCUCAAUUGGUGGAUUCCUGAUGGGCAGCUCUGCCCUACAGUUCCAAACAGAUCCAAUUACAUCCAUUGGAUUGAAGAUCUUCUUUCCUCUGAUAUCAUUCCGAAGAAUAAUGCUAAUGGAGAGAUUGUGAGAGGCUUUGAUAUAGGCACUGGAGCAAACUGCAUUUACCCGCUCCUUGGUGCAUCUAUUAAAGGCUGGAGUUUUGUUGGAUCAGAUGUAACUGAUGUAGCACUAGAAUGGGCAGAGAGAAAUGUUAAAGAUAAUCCUCAUAUUUCAGAACUAAUUGAGAUUAGAAAGGUUGCAAACUGUCAAGUCACCUUUUCUGCUGAAGAUUUGCAUAAUUUAGAAUCUGUAAACGGUGGAAGUGAGAUGGGUAUGGAUAGAAGUGUGGUUGAGGAGGCAGGGUCAUUUGCUUUGCCGGUGGAUGCAAAUAGGAAUUAUAACAGACCACCUGUACUUCUUGGUGUGGUCAGGGAUGAUGAGAAGUUUGACUUCUGCAUGUGUAAUCCUCCAUUUUUUGAGACCAUGGAGGAAGCGGGACUAAACCCAAAAACUUCUUGUGGUGGGACUCCUGAAGAGAUGGUUUGUCCUGGUGGAGAAAAGACUUUUAUUUCUCGAAUCAUUGAAGAUAGUGCAGUACUAAAGGAUUCCUUCAGGUGGUACACUUCAAUGGUUGGAAGGAAAAAAAAUCUCAAGUUUCUAAUGUCGAAACUUAGGGAAGUUGGAGUCACCAUAGUAAAAACAACUGAAUUUGUCCAGGGACAAACAUGUCGAUGGGGGCUUGCUUGGUCUUUUAUGUCUCCUACCAAGAAGAUAAUAUCACCUCAUGUAGCAGAAAAGAGUAUCCUCUCUUUCACACUUGAGGGACUUCAACGUCAAUUCAGUGCCAUUGAUGUAUUACAAUCCAUUGAGUCCUUUUUCUGCACCAGUGGUGCAUCUUGUAAACUAAAUGCCACAUCAUUUUCUGUUGAUAUUACUGCAUCAAAUGAUCAAUGUGAUGCAAUCCUAAAGAAUGAAAGGAUACAUUGUGAUGAAAUUGACAACUGCAAUCCUUUGGAAGGGACAUCCAAUAUUUCAAGUAACUUGUGUUGUCGCGUUUCGGUUUUUCAACAAAUCCCGGGAACCCUUCUGGUAAAAGGAUCAUUGCAACAUAAAGAUAGCCCACUUUCAGGACUAUUCUCAUCCAUUAUCCAACAUUUGGAGGAAAUGUUGAGGCACAAAUUUUGUAAAUCAAAGCUCACUGCCAAUUAAAUCAAGUCUGUUUUCUGAUUUUGCCAUAUACCAGAAUUUAGGAUCAAAUGGGCCUAAACAACAUGUACCGUUUAUCAAGUCGGCAGGUUCAAAGAAAUUGGAUUUCUAUGAAAGAAAACAAAUGCUGGCUUUGAUUACAAGUCCGUGUGGACACAAAUGUCUCUUAUUUAGCAUUGAAGAUUGCUGUCUUUUCUAAGCUAUGGCGGUUCAACUUUGCUUUCUGGAUAGGGACGACCACUGUUUGGUUUCAAACCAUAACCAAAUUGAAACCAAAUUAGUCAAAACCGGCACUAAACUGUGGUCAGUAGUUCUUGUUUUGAAGCCGUAACUGAAAAUAUGUAUUUAUUUGGUUCUUCACUUUUUCAAACCGGAACAGGCAGCUUCAGUUUAAAAUCAGUUCCGGUUUGAAACCAUGAAAAAUAUGUUUUUAAGGAAUUUUCAAUUUAUUGUUUUGUUUUAUUA